AGCGAACGCUGGCGGCAGGCCUAACACAUGCAAGUCGAACGAACUCUUCGGAGUUAGUGGCGGACGGGUGAGUAACACGUGGGAACGUGCCUUUUGGUUCGGAAUAACUCAGGGAAACUUGUGCUAAUACCGAAUGUGCCCUUCGGGGGAAAGAUUUAUCGCCAUUAGAGCGGCCCGCGUCUGAUUAGCUAGUUGGUGAGGUAACGGCUCACCAAGGCGACGAUCAGUAGCUGGUCUGAGAGGAUGACCAGCCACACUGGGACUGAGACACGGACCAGACUCCUACGGGAGGCAGCAGUGGGGAAUCUUGCGCAAUGGGCGAAAGCCUGACGCAGCCAUGCCGCGUGAAUGAUGAAGGUCUUAGGAUUGUAAAAUUCUUUCACCGGGGACGAUAAUGACGGUACCCGGAGAAGAAGCCCCGGCUAACUUCGUG
RNAcentral lists this ribosomal RNA (433 nucleotides) under uncultured bacterium. RNAcentral's name for it is "partial 16S ribosomal RNA". It matches the Rfam family "Bacterial small subunit ribosomal RNA", at positions 29 to 507 of the family's 1533-position model. The record is from RNAcentral.